Molecule: ribosomal RNA, 497 nt
Filed under: uncultured bacterium
Lineage: Bacteria
Description: partial 16S ribosomal RNA
Rfam family: Bacterial small subunit ribosomal RNA
Source: RNAcentral
GAUGAACGCUGGCGGCGUGCCUAAUACAUGCAAGUCGAGCGAACAGAUGAGGAGCUUGCUCCUCUGACGUCAGCGGCGGACGGGUGAGUAACACGUGGAUAACCUACCUAUAAGACUGGGAUAACUUCGGGAAACCGGAGCUAAUACCGGAUAAUAUAUUGAACCGCAUGGUUCAAUAGUGAAAGACGGUUUUGCUGUCACUUAUAGAUGGAUCCGCGCCGCAUUAGCUAGUUGGUAAGGUAACGGCUUACCAAGGCAACGAUGCGUAGCCGACCUGAGAGGGUGAUCGGCCACACUGGAACUGAGACACGGUCCAGACUCCUACGGGAGGCAGCAGUAGGGAAUCUUCCGCAAUGGGCGAAAGCCUGACGGAGCAACGCCGCGUGAGUGAUGAAGGUCUUCGGAUCGUAAAACUCUAUUAUUAGGGAAGAACAAAUGUGUAAGUAACUAUGCACGUCUUGACGGUACCUAAUCAGAAAGCCACGGCUAACUACGUG